AGUACUGGAGUUGGGAGAAGCUGAGGCGUUUUUCGUGCCGCUGGCUGACCGGCCGGCUGGUGGCUUACAUAGCCAGCUAGUGUGUGCUCUACUUUCUUGCGUGUAAUCUCGCACAAAGCUAGCUUGGAGCCGAAUAAUGGAAGCCACGAUGAAGCUCUGCAACGUUGCGACGGUGAGGAGCUCUGUCACCGGCAAGCCCCGCGAGCAGGAGGAAGUGUCCUCUCGGCAUGAAGACCAGAGAGAGCCUGCAGUUAUUAUGCCACCGGGAGCAUCGGUUCACGUGGUUCAUGUCUAGUAUUAGCAUGGUGUUAUCCUGAUUGAGCUUUUUUUUGAUUGAGCUUUUUUUUAAUUUAAGGUUUCUAUUCUUCUUCGUAUCUCUAUAUCGUCGGAUCUUCUUGACCUUGCAAGACCUUUUCUUGACCUUGUAAGACCCAACUCUACCGUCUUUCUUUCCUUCAACUCAAUCUUAACAGUCUUCCACCUCUCUUUUUAUCCUUGCUUCUUCUCUAGCUCUAUCCCUUCUGAGCUGUGGGUUCAACUAUAUGUUUACAUGUUUAGAUAUUAGAUUAUCCCUGGAUUAAUUAUUCUAUGAUAUAAUUAAGUUUGGUGUGAGUAAA
Long non-coding RNA from Zea mays, 617 nucleotides. RefSeq lists it as uncharacterized. The transcript has 3 exons. The record is from RefSeq and is marked validated. Lineage: Eukaryota; Viridiplantae; Streptophyta; Magnoliopsida; Poales; Poaceae.